CAAUAAGUGUUCAAUGGCACUUUAAAAUCCAUCACCCACCUUGUGUGCAAUGUAAGGAGGAGGGGGUUUGUCAGACUUGUUGGUCUGGUUUCCCCUCUUUCAUUAUACAUACCAAUCUUCUCUUGUUGUCUACUUUUUGAGUAUAAAAAAACUCGAAUA
Molecule: unclassified non-coding RNA, 159 nt
Filed under: soil metagenome
Description: partial internal transcribed spacer 1
Source: RNAcentral